ACGGCCAUAUGACGUUUAAACAUAAAUUCUCGUACGAUAACCGAAGUUAAGCAACGUCGAGUCUGGUUGGUACUAGGAUGUGGGACCCCUUAGGAAUGCCAAGUGCUGUAAG
This is a non-coding RNA of Acanthosepion pharaonis, 112 nucleotides long. NCBI's taxonomy places the organism in Eukaryota, Metazoa, Mollusca, Cephalopoda, Sepiida, Sepiidae. The record is from the annotation of a GenBank genome assembly.